CCUACGGGAGGCAGCAGUCGAGAAUAUUUCACAAUGGGGGAAACCCUGAUGGAGCGACGCCGCGUGGGGGAAUGAAGGUCUUCGGAUUGUAAACUCCUGUCAUGUGGGAGAAAAUUAAAAAGAUAGUACCACAAGAGGAAGAGACGGCUAACUCUGUGCCAGCAGCCGCGGUAAUACAGAGGUCUCAAGCGUUGUUCGGAAUCACUGGGCGUAAAGGGUGCGUAGGCUGUUUCGUAAGUCGUGUGUGAAAGGCGCGGGCUCAACCCGCGGACGGCACAUGAUACUGCGAGACUAGAGUAAGGGAGGGGUAAGCGGAAUUCUCGGUGUAGCAGUGAAAUGCGUAGAUAUCGGGAGGAACACUCGUGGCGAAGGCGGGUUCCUGGACAUUAACUGACGCUGAGGCACGAAGGCCAGGGGAGCGAAAGGGAUUAGAUACCCUUGUAGUC
RNAcentral lists this ribosomal RNA (446 nucleotides) under uncultured bacterium. RNAcentral's name for it is "partial 16S ribosomal RNA". It matches the Rfam family "Bacterial small subunit ribosomal RNA", at positions 338 to 795 of the family's 1533-position model. The record is from RNAcentral.